UGCCCCUCACUUGCCAAUACGUCUAGAUCAGCCAGGGCGUCGGCAUGUGUAGCGUAUUAUGUUGGGCUCUCUCGAGAUAAGGAUACGAUGUCCCUUUAUCGGUUGGUUUCCUGUGUGCGCGUCCCGUUUGUUUCUUUUUGUUACUUUCGCAUCGUUCGGUGCAUUCUGGGGGAUGUUUUGGCUUUUGGUGGCUUACUUGGCCUUUUGGCUGGGUUUGUUGCUAUUGGUCGGGCGGCUUUCGGGAAUGUCGACCGUGGAGGUGCAUGAGUGGUGUUUGGUUUGUUACGUGUGGAUGGCUGUUUGCUUGCGCAACAACGUUCACGCUGCAUACCUCUUCAGUUUUGCAGCAAGGCUUGGUUUGGCUUGUGCAUAUUGUGGGUUUCCUGUGUUGCAUACCUAGUUGAAGGAAAAGUGUGGGUUUUACGAUUUUCAUUUUCGUCUUGCGUCGUUCUUUCGGCAUGGGAUGAGCAACGAAGCGAUCUUUAUGAUCCAUCGUGCUGUUGCGUUUGCAACAAUGAUGUGGCCUAUGAAGCAUCGUUUGGUCUCUUGUAUACGGAAGCUCAUUUGGGCUUGGGUCUUUAUAAGAUCUUCGUUAUGCCCUUGUUAAGCGUUCUCGCUUCUCCUAAACGAUUG
This 633-nucleotide unclassified non-coding RNA is filed under the name Centaurea toletana. RNAcentral describes it as "partial external transcribed spacer". The record is from RNAcentral. Lineage: Eukaryota; Viridiplantae; Streptophyta; Magnoliopsida; Asterales; Asteraceae.